Triticum urartu is the source of this 2760-nucleotide non-coding RNA. Lineage: Eukaryota; Viridiplantae; Streptophyta; Magnoliopsida; Poales; Poaceae. The record is from RefSeq and is a predicted model, not a curated record.
CGACCGCUCUCUUUCCCUCUCCUCCCGAUGCGGCGCUGCCCCCAUCUCUUGCUCCUCCGCCGCCGCCGCCCCUGCUUCCCCGAUUCACACAUCUCACCCUCCCUCCUGCACUAGCAUCCGCCGCCGCCAGUGCGUUGGCUGCCUCCCUCCCCCAUCGCCGGCCACCUCUCGCCCCCAUAACCGGUCGCCGCCAGCCUUCCUUGCCGCCGGCGCCGCCGAUUCCUCAUCUUUUCUUCGUAGCCACAAUCUUCCCUCGCGUCCGGGCUCCUCCUCCUCCGCCGCCGCCCGAACAAUCGAUCCCCACCUAGCCGGGGAUGGAGGCGCGCGAGGACGUCAGCAGCAGGAACGGCGGCGUGGAGGCCUUCCUGGCGUCGUGCGCGGUGUCUGGCGACGACGCUUACGGCGCAGCCAGGGCCGUGCUCGAGCGCCUCCAGGCCCCCGCCACGCGCGCCGGGGCAAGGCGCCAUCCGUCGCCGCCUCGCCGACGACCCCGCCGCCGGGCAGGAGGAAUGCUUCCACGCCUUCAACCUCCGCAUCCACGACGUCGUCCUACAAGGUCGGCCCCCCAUCCUCCCCACUGCCCGACGAUGCCUCCCCUUCCUCCUGUGUCGCCUCCCUCGACCGUGUAGGCACGUCGACAUAACCUGGACGCCGUCACUGCAUUGAUCAUGUAGAUCAGGGCGCCUGCAACGUGACACAGCCGUUUUCUUCGGCCGAGCACUGAAAAGGGGCUGACGGCUGCAUCGCCAUGCCAUUUGUAGCUCAAGAUUUGUAAGCCGCACAAGGUCAUCUCUGCCGCUUCACUUCUGGUUCGCCUCUCUGCUCCUCCCAACGCAUCUAUCUCGUGAUUUCAAUAACUGAAGGGUUGAAGGUCAAGGUCGGCGACCUGUAUGUCCACAAGUUGUCCCAUGGCUGUUCACUGUGGGAUGUGAUGAGAGGUGAGGCCUCUUUGCCUGUUGAACAGGUGCAGGGCCUCCCGCUUAUUCCUACUUUCUUGCAGUCAAAGGACGGGGUUCGGUGAAACCAGAGCAAACUAAGGAUCCCAGCAAAGAAGGAAGCUAAUAAUGAUGGACAUACCUAGCAUUUUCGGCCCCGGAGAUAGGUCCAUCACUCUCUACGAGGGCAUAAAUCAUCAUCCAGAUCCAGAUUCCAUUUUCAGGAAUAAGACCGUCGCACAGCUGGGAUGUGGCAAUGGUUGGAUAUCCAUUGCGCUUGCAGAAAAAUGGUGCCCUUCCAAGGAUCCCAGCAAAGAAGGAAGCUAAUAAUGAUGGACAUACCUAGCAUUUUCGGCCCCGGAGAUAGGUCCAUCACUCUCUACGAGGGCAUAAAUCAUCAUCCAGAUCCAGAUUCCAUUUUCAGGAAUAAGAUUGUCGCACAGCUGGGAUGUGGCAAUGGUUGGAUAUCCAUUGCGCUUGCAGAAAAAUGGUGCCCUUCCAAGUUAAUUCAAGGAGGACCCUACAUCUAAAGAUCUUGGUUGCAAAAGUAUAUCAGGAAGAUCUUGGUUGCAAAAGUGAUCAGAUAUACUCCUCUGUACCAAAAUAUAAGACGUUUUUCUCAGUUCAAUUGAACUGCAAAAAUAUCUUAUACUUUCGUACGGAGGGAGUAAUAGUCAACACAACCAGGCGGGGGCACAUGCCAUUUUUUCUCCUUCACCAUGGACCCUGAAUUUGCUGAACUCUGGGCGUGUCGAUGGGCUGCUCAGCUUACAUGUGAACUGGACGUGGCAAAGCUUAUCCUGGAGACGAACUCAAAGCUAUGAAAAUUCAUGUAUACUGAUUAUCGAGCAUUAUGGGCAAGGGACGGGGGUACAAGGCAUGGUCUGCGGCGCCGCACCUUGUUGUUCCCUGCCGGUGGCGGGCGAGCUGCAGUGGCGCUUCUCUGUUGCGUGGCGAGGGACGGGGGCGGAAGGUGUGCAUCUGCAGUGCCACUCCUGGGGCAUGCCUCUCCGGCGACAUUGCCGGCGUACACAACAUACCUUCCUACACGGGGAUUUCAUCUCUGAACUAAAUAUUACGUCCGAAGACUGAAACAUCCAGAAGAUUUAUUGAGACUAUUCAUUGAUGGUCUUUCUCUACUACACGAGGAAGGCCUGAGGUAGACAAACAUAACAACUGAUGAAAGAAGAACAUAUUUGUACCUUGUUGCCCGCUGACUAUAUGCAUGGUUGAAUUGUAGUAUGUGUGAUACAUGAGAAUAAUGUAAUAUGAAGUGAAACAUGGUGGAUAGGGCUUCGUGAAUGAGCUGGCGGAGAAGAUGUCAGUGGUGGAAGCGGAGAUGUUAUAGAAGAUGUUGCGGGCGGUACCGGAGGAAAUGGCCAAAUGGGGUUCCUCGGAGCCGACAAGAAGGAUGCUGCAGCGGCACAUAUUGGUUUCCAUUUCCAUCCAGAGAAGAACUUAUGAACGAAGAGAUAUCCUAGAAGUUGAGUGCAGUUGGAGGGGCCUCAGUCCUUUUGAGCCAAGAAAAGUAGAUGGGGCAUGUCCAAGCUAUGAAUAGUAGAUGGGAAAGUGUUGAAAUAUUUUGUGUUUCCAUGGUUUGUAAAUGGUAGGAGGUAUAUGUAGUAACAUGUACGGUUUCAAGUGCCAAAUUUCAUGUGUAAAAGUUUGCUAGGGAAUUUUGAUUGUAGAAUCUUGGAAUAAGGGAACAAAAUCCUACAUGUGUCAUAUAUUUAAUUAAUGGAUAAUAACAACAGACAUGCUUUCAUGAGAUGAUUAAUCUUAAGCAUAGAAGGGCAUCCAUGUGCCACCUAUCAUUUGUAAUGCA